GAUGAACGCUAGCGGCAGGCCUAACACAUGCAAGUCGAGGGGUAGAGUUCUUCGGAACUUGAGACCGGCGCACGGGUGCGUAACGCGUAUGCAAUCUACCUUAUACAGGGGAAUAGCCCAGAGAAAUUUGGAUUAAUGCCCCAUAGUAUUAUUGAACGGCAUCAUUUGAUAAUUAAAGUUCCAACGGUAUAAGAUGAGCAUGCGUCCCAUUAGUUAGUUGGUAAGGUAACGGCUUACCAGGACAAUGAUGGGUAGGGGGCCUGAGAGGGUGGUCCCCCACACUGGUACUGAGACACGGACCAGACUCCUACGGGAGGCAGCAGUGAGGAAUUUUGGACAAUGGGCGCAAGCCUGAUCCAGCAAUGCCGCGUGCAGGAAGAAGGCCUUCGGGUUGUAAACUGCUUUUGUACGGAACGAAAAGGUCUGGGUUAAUACCCUGGGCUCAUGACGGUACCGUAAGAAUAAGCACCGGCUAACUACGUG
RNAcentral lists this ribosomal RNA (483 nucleotides) under uncultured bacterium. Its description in RNAcentral is "bacterial SSU rRNA". It matches the Rfam family "Bacterial small subunit ribosomal RNA", at positions 28 to 507 of the family's 1533-position model. The record is from RNAcentral.